GAUGAACGCUGGCGGCGUGCUUAACACAUGCAAGUCGAACGGAAAGGCGCUGCUUGCAGGGUACUCGAGUGGGGAACGGGUGAGUAACUCGUGGGUGAUCUGCCCUCCAAUUCGGGAUAAGCCGGUGAAACUGGGUCGAAUACCGGACAGGAGACAUUUUUAGCGGGAUGGUUGGAAAGUUUUUCGGGUGUUGGAUGGGCUCGCGACCUAUCAGCUUGUUGGGGGGGCAAUGUGGUACCAAGGCGGCGACGGGUAGCCGGCCUGAGAGGGUGGACGGCGACCCUGGCACCGACAGAAGGCCCAGACACCGACGGGAGGCAGCAGGGGGGAAUCUUGCCGAAGCGGCGCAAGCUUGAUGCAGAGAGGCCGCGUGGGGGAUGACUGUCUUCGGAUUGUAAACUCCUUUCGUUAGUGACGAAGCUUUUUGUGACGGUACCUAGACAAGAAGCAACGGCUAACUACGUG
RNAcentral lists this ribosomal RNA (465 nucleotides) under uncultured bacterium. RNAcentral describes it as "partial 16S ribosomal RNA". It matches the Rfam family "Bacterial small subunit ribosomal RNA", at positions 28 to 507 of the family's 1533-position model. The record is from RNAcentral.